RNAcentral lists this transfer RNA (76 nucleotides) under Diplacanthopoma brachysoma. Its description in RNAcentral is "tRNA-Trp". It matches the Rfam family "tRNA". Rfam says of the family: Transfer RNA (tRNA) molecules are approximately 80 nucleotides in length. Their secondary structure includes four short double-helical elements and three loops (D, anti-codon, and T loops). The record is from RNAcentral. Lineage: Eukaryota; Metazoa; Chordata; Actinopteri; Ophidiiformes; Bythitidae.
AGGGGCUUAGGAUAGCACUUACUUAAACCAAGGGCCUUCAAAGCCUUAAACGGGAGUGAAAAUCUCCCAGCCCCUG